This 18169-nucleotide long non-coding RNA is filed under the name Nicotiana tabacum (common tobacco). Its description in RNAcentral is "long non-coding RNA (NTAB_LNC002076)". Lineage: Eukaryota; Viridiplantae; Streptophyta; Magnoliopsida; Solanales; Solanaceae. The record is from RNAcentral.
UGAAUAUAUGCAAGAGUUCGUAGUAGAUUGGUCUUUAGGAGAACCUCUCUCGAUUAUUCUCCUAACUAGGUUUAAAUAAUAAUUCAACUAGACUCUUUCAAUUAUUAAGAAGAAUUAAUGAAUUCAACCAACAAGAUAAUGCAAAGAUAUCACAAGUAUGCCUCUCUCAAUUAGAUGAACAUGUGAAUAUAGAUGCAACAAUUAAAACACUCAAAAUGAUUCAAUACAUAAAAACUAGAGUUAAUAUCCAUAAACAAAUAUCAAUACACCAAAUCCAUCAAUCCCUAAAGAGAACUACUCCAUAGAUAUGGAGUAAUUCAUCACAAAUAUAAAGAAAAACAUAAAACGAUCCAAACUCUUGUCUUGAGUGAGGAUUGAAUGAUGAAUCCAUUGUGCUUUCGCUUCUCCACCUUCUCUCUAGCCUCCUUAGGUCUUAGCUGUGUCAAAAAUGAAAUCACCUUUUUCUAGCCGAAAUAGGAAAACUUGCAAACUUAUUGCUUUUCAUGCAUCACACUGUGCGUCGCCCAGUGCGCCGCAUUACUGCUUUUUCCUGACACGCCCCAAAAACCCAGUCUCUGAAGUUUGUCAUUUUUUGCAGAUUUUUUCAGUGGUGCGUCGCCCAGUGCGAUGCACCAGUGUAUUUUUCGGCAGAUUAUUCUUCCUUGAAUUUUGACGCCCAAAAGUGAUCCUCGACCCCCGAACACUAUUCUGAAUUAAUCCUUGGGCUUUUACUCAAACUUCAAAGCUCCAGAAUAUCUUGAAUUUAUUCCAUAACAUCUACAUAUCGAAAUCAGUCCUACAAGGCAUAAAACACACAAUUAGUGCAAAACACUAGCAAUUUACGCUCAAACUCAAUUAAAGUGCCGUAAUUGGAAUGUAAUAAGCGACUAAAAUAUAAGAUUAUAGCCUACCAUCAAGCACUAGGUUAGGUUACCAAGGUCUCAUGAGUCACGAGCAAGCAUAGUAGAGUCUAAAGGAUCAGUACGGAAACAUCUGUACUUAUCUUCCAGAGGCUAUGGAAUUUAGGAACAAUUUCACUUCUAUUCUACUCUGUCGUGCGAUUUUAUUCUAUCAUUGACGAUUAAACUCUUCUAUUCUUGUACUCUUGCAGAUGGCGAGAACACGUUCUAUAUCUACCACCGGACAGGAGCCAGAUCCCCAGUGACAGCUACGACUAGGGGCCGAGGCCGAGGUAGAUGCAGAGGCAGAGCUCAAUCUAGAGCUCGAGUAGAAUCACCUAUUGUUGAACCUCGGGUGGAUUUGGAAGCGGAGAUUCCAGCUAAGACGGUACCUGUUGGACCAGUUCAGGUUCCAGAAGGAUUCAUAGCUACUCUAGUACUUCAAGAUGCUCUAGUCCAUUUGGUGAGUCUUAUGGAGGGUGUGGACCAAAUUGGUGUAUUUGUAGUGGCACCAGCCGUCUCACAAGGUGGGGGAGAAUCACAAACUCUUACAACUCCCGCUCCGGUGCAGACAACUCCUUUGUAUCAGGCUCCAGUAGCCCAUCCAGUUGGUGUAAUUCAUCCAGUUGUUGCGGCACAGGCCAAUGGCAGACCUACUUUGUCUUCUGAGGCUUUGUUGAGGUUGGACAAGUUUACCAAGAUAUUUCCAAUCCAUUUCAGUGGUACACCUUCUAAGGACCCACGAGAUAUUCUGGACCGCUGCUAUAAGGUAUUGCAGAACAUGGAAUAGUUGAAAGCAAUGGGGUUGGUUUUGCUGUAUUUCAGAUGACUGGUUCCGCCAAGAGGUGGUGGAAAGAUUAUGUAUUUACUAGACCAAUUGGUUCGCCUGCAGUUACCUGAGAAUAGUUCUCGCAGCUAUUUCUGGAGAAGUUCCUUCCUAUUACCUUGAGAGAGAAUUAUCGGAGAGAGUUUGAGCGUCUCCAGCAAGGCAGCAUGUCGGUCACUCAGUAUGAGACCCGCUUUGUGGUUUUAGACCGUUAUGUUCUUCUUCUGCUUCCUACCGAGAAAGAGAGGGUGAGGAGGUUCAUUGAUGGACUCGUUCAGCCUAUCAAGCUACUGAUGGCCAAGGAGACAAGGAAUGAGAUUUCUUUUCAGACGGCUGCAAAUGUCUCCAGGCGGAUCGAGAUGGUUCUUUCUCAGGAGAGAGGGCCAGUGUCAGAUAAGAGGCCGCGUUAUUCCGGUAAUUUUAGAGGCACCUCAUCUGUAGGCAGGGGUACUUCUGGUAGAGGACAUAUUCCCAGGCAAUUUUAUUCAGCACUUCAGACUUCUUAUGGUGCUUUAGGGAAUCAUGGUUAUUAUGUUCCUUACCUUGGGCAGCCAGCAUUUACUGCACAUUCAGCUCCUAUCAGUGUACCACCACUUCAGAGUCACUACGGUGGUUAUCUGACCCGUUUAGGUCAGCUUCAGCUUCAACAACCACGGCAGCAGGAUGUGUGUUAUGAGUGUGGGAACAUUGGUCACAUCAGGAGGCAUUGUCCUAGGUUGUUGAGCAAUAGACCUCAACAGGAUUCUCAUGCCAUCAUUUUGGCACCGGUUGCUCCAUUGCCUGACCGACCAGCUAGGGGUAGGGGCUAGACUGUUAGAGGUAGAGGUCAGACAGCUAGAGGUAGAGGUCAGACUAGUAGAGGUUGAGGCCAGACUGCUAGAGGUGGAGGCCAGCCAGCUAUGGCCUGUCCUAGAGAUGUAGUUCAGACUGGUGGGGCCUAGCCCCGAUUCUAUGCUUUCCCAGCUAGGCCUGAGGCCGAGUCAUCCGAUGUCGUGAUCAAAGGUAUUGUUCCAGUUUUCCAUAGAGAUGCCUCAGUGUCAUGUUACUUACUCCUAUGUGUCAUGCUACUUUACUUCAUAUUUGAUUGUACCCCGUGAUUCUCUGAGUGCGUUUGUUUAUAUUUCCACACUAGUGGGAGAUUCUGUUGUGGUAGAUCAUGUCUAUCAUUUGUGUGUGGUUACUAUUGGGUGUCUCGAGACUAGUGUGGAUCUUCUACUUCUUGACAUGGUAGAUUUUGACGUCAUAUUGUGUAUGGAUUGGCUGUCACCUUAUCAUGCUAUAUUGGACUGUCAUGCCAAGACGAUGACCUUAGCCAUGCCAGGGUUACCUCUAUUGGAGUGGAAAGGAACUCCUGGUCGUUCUACCAGCAGGGUUAUCUAUUAUAUGAAGGCUCAGUGUAUGGUCGAGAAGGGGUUUCUAUCUUAUUUGGCUUAUAUUCGCGAUCCCAGUGCGGAUGUUCCUUCUAUGGACUCAGCCCCAGUUGUUCGUGAAUUUCCAGAAGUAUUUCCUGCAGAUUUGUCGGGGAUGCCACCCGACAGAGAUAUUGACUUAUGUAUUGAUUUAGCUCCGGGCACUCAGCCCAUUUCUAUUCCUCCAUACCGUAUGGCCCCGUCGGAGUUGAGGGAAUUAAAGGAGCACUUACAAGACUUGCUUGAUCAGGGAUUCAUUAGACCUAGUGUCUCACCCUGGGGUGCACCAGUGUUAUUUAUAAAGAAGAAAGAUGGUUCUAUGCGAAUAUGUAUAGAUUACCGAUAGUUGAACAAGGUCACUAUUAAAAACAAAUAUCCGUUGCCAAGAAUUGAUGACUUAUUUGAUCAACUUCAGGGUGCCAAGGUGUUUUCAAAGAUCGAUUUGAGGUCCGGUUAUCAUCAGUUGAAUAUUAGGGCAUCUGAUAUCCGUAAGACAACUUUUCGGACCCGGUAUGGGCAUUAUGAAUUCCUAGUGAUGUUAUUUGGGAUUACUAAUGCCCAAGCAGCAUUUAUGGAUUUGAUGAAUCGGGUGUUCAAGCCCUAUCUGGAUUCUUUUUUGGUUGUAUUCAUUGAUGACAUCUUGAUUUACUCUAGCAAUCGAGAGGAGCAUGAACAACAUCUUCAGAUUAUGCUUCAGACUUUGAAGAAUAAUCAGUUAUAUGCCAAAUUUUCAAAAUAUGAGUUUUGGUUAAACUCGGUUGCCUCUUGGGGGCAUGUUGUAUUGCAGAAGGCAUAAAGGUAGAUCCUAAGAAGAUUGAGGCAGUUCAGAACUGGCCUAGACCUACUUCAGUUAAAGAGAUACGGAGUUUUCUGGGUUUGGCAGGUUAUUAUCGCCGGUUCGUGGAAGGGUUUUCAUCUAUAGCAAACUCGUUGACCAAAUUGACACAGAAAGGUGUUCCAUUCAGAUGGUCAGACAAGUGUGAGUUGAGCUUUCAGAAGCUCAAGACUGCUUUGACUACGACGCCAUUGUUGGUGUUAUCCACAGGUUCAGGAUCGUACACGGUGUAUUAUGAUGCAUCUUGGAUUGGACUAGGUGCAGUAUUAAUGCAAGAUGGAAGGGUGAUUGCUUAUGCAUCGCGACAUUUGAAAGUCCAUGAGAAGAAUUAUCCUAUUCAUGACUUAGAAUUGGAAGCCAUUGUUCAUGCGCUGAAGAUUUGGAGACACUACCUUUACGGCGUGUCAUGUAAAGUAUUCACAGAUCAUCGUAGUGUACAGUAUCUAUUCAAACAGAAAGAUCUUAAUUUGAGGCAGAGAAGAUGGUUGGAGAUGUUGAAAGACUAUGAUAUCACCAUUUUGUAUCAUCCGAGAAAGGCCAAUAUGGUGGCCGAUGCUUUGAGUAGAAAGGUUGUGAGUAUGGGCAGCCUUGCGUAUAUUCCAGUUAGUGAGAGGCCGCUCGUUGCAGAUGUUCAAACUUUGGCCAAUCAGUUCGUAAGGUUAGUUAUUUUAGAGCCCAGUCAGGUUCUAGCUUGUACAGUCACUGGAUCUUCUUUAUAUGAGCACAUCAGAGAGCAGUAGUGUAAUGAUCCUCAUUUACUUGUCCUUAAGGACACGGUGCGGCACGGCGGUGGAAAGUAGGUUGUUGUGGGAGAUGAUGGAGUUCUGUGGAUGCAGGGUCAUAUUUGUGUUCCUAAUGUAUCAAUCUGGGUACCGCCAAAUAUAAGGUGAACUGCGUACCUCAAUCUGGGUACCGCCAAAAUGUAUCAAGAUUUACGACAACAUUAAUGGUCAAGGAGAAUGAAAAAGGAUAUAGUUGCAUAUGUAGCUCGGUGACUAAAUUGUCAGCAAGUCAAGUACGAGCAUCAGAGACCUGGUGGUUUGCUUUAGAAGUUAGAAAUUUCUUAGUGGAAGUGGGAGCGUAUCACUAUGGAUUUUGUUGUUGGACUCCUACUGACUCAGAGAAAGUUUGAUGCAGUAUAGGUCAUUGUGGACAAGUUGACCAAGUCAGCACAUUUUAUUUCAGUGGCAAUUACCUAUUUUUCAGAGCGGUUAGCUGAAAUUUACAUUCGUGAGAUUGUCCGCCUUCACGGUAUGCCCGUGUCUAUUAUUUUAGAUUGAGGUACGCAGUUCACCUCACAUUUUUGGUAGGCUAUACAGCAUGAGUUAGGCACGCGGGUUGAGUUGAGUACAACAUUUCAUCCACAGACAGACGGACAGUCCGAGCGCACUAUUCAGAUAUUGGAAGAUAUGCUUCGCUCUUGUGUUAUAGACUUUGGAGGUUCUUGGGAUCAGUUCUUGCCACUUGCGGAGUUUGCCUAUAAUAACAGCUACCAGUCGAGCAUUCAGAUGGCUCCAUAUGAAGUAUUAUAUGGGAGGCGAUGUCAUUUGCCAGUGGGUUGGUUUGAACCGAAACAAGCUCGGUUGUUGGGUACUGAUUUGGUACAGGAUGCCUUGGAUAAGGUCAAGGUUAUCCAAGAUCGACUUCGCAUAGCUUAGUCUAGGAAAAAGAGUUAUACUAACCUUAAGGUUCGUGAUGUAGCAUUCAUGACUGUAGAAAGAGUAUUGCUCUAGGUUUCACCUAUGAAAGGUGUAAUAAGAUUCGGAAAGAAGGGCAAGUUAAUCCCUAGGUAUAUCGGACCCUUUAAAAUUCUUGAAAGGGUGGGUGAAGUAGCCUACAAGCUUGCACUACCACCUAGCUUAUCAGCAGUUCAUCCGGUAUUCCAUGUAUCAAUGCUCCGAAAAUAUCAUCGUGAUCCGUCCCAUGUAUUAGACUUCAGCUCAGUCCAAUUGGCAGGUCCGACAGUUGAGGAGGAGCCGGUAGCUAUUCUAGACUGGCAGGUCCGACAGUUGAGAUCUAAGAGUUAUCCUUCAGUUCGGGUGCAAUGAAGAGGUGUAACGACUCGGCCGGUCAUUUUGCGUAUUACAACAUUGUUUCCCCAUUUACUGCUCAAAUUGUACUUUACAGUUGUUGUGUGAAUUAUCAGGGUAAUUGGUUCGGGUCCAGUAAGGUUUUCAAAGGAAUUGGAACACUUAGUUCCAAGGUUUAAAGCUUAAGUUAAAAUAGUGACCGGAUGCGGACUUAUGUGUAAACGACCUCGGAUCUGUAGUGGAAUUUGGCUUGAAUUACCGAAAGUUGAAUUUUUGGAAAGUUUGACCGGGGGUUUGACUUUUUGAUAUCGGAGUCAGAAUCCGAUUCCGGAAAUUUGAAUAGGUCUGUAGUGUGAAAUGUGACUUGUGUGCAUAAUUUGAGGUCAAUCGGACAUGAUUUGAUAGGUUUCGGCGUCGUUUGUGCAAUUUGGAAAUUUAUUAGGCUUGAAUACGUGUGUAGGUCAUAUUUUUGAGGUUGUUAGGUAUGAUUUGAGGCCUCGAGUAGGUCCGUGUUAUGUUAUGGAACUUGUUGGUAUGUUCGUACGUGGACCCGAGGGCCUCGGGUGAGUUUCGGAUUGUUAACAGAUUGAUUUUUGAAUUUGAAAGACUGCAGGAACUGCUGCCUACUGGUGUGAUCGCACCUGCGAAGAUUGUGAUCGCAGGUGCGAAGCCGCAUGUGCGUGAAAUAAGCCGCAGAAGCGGCCAAGAGUGGGACUGGGCAGUGCUCGCAGAUGCGAGGAAUUUUCCCCAUCUGCGAGGCCGCAGGUGCGAAGGUGUUGCGCGGAUGCGGACUGGGGCUGGCCUUGGGCGAUCGCAGGUGCGAAGGGUUUGUGCAUAUGCGAGCCCGCAGAUGCGAGGUUUUGAAAGGUUGGCAUUGUCCGCAGGCACGCAAUUUGUUCCGCAAAUGCGGAUACGCAGGUGCAAGCCCAGGCACCGCAGGUGGGGAAAUGCCUGGGCAGUGUUUAAAACGAGGGUUCCGAGAUUUUUUCUCAUUUUGGACAUUUUGGAGCUCGGCUUGGGCGAUUUUGGAGAGGAAAUUUUUCACACAACUUGGGGUAAGUGUUCUUAACUCCCUUGUGAUUAUAUUCCAUGAAUAUAUCUUCAUUUUUGGUGUAAGAUUAUUGAAUCUUCAAGAGAAAUAGAAGGAAAUUUCUAUAAUGUCAUAAAAUGAAUUUUUCAAGUUUGAAUACCGAUUUGGAGUCGGAUUUGAGUGAAAUUAGUAUGGUUGAACUUGUAAUUGGAUGGGUUGUAGUAUUUUGGGAGUUUCAUCAGAUUUCGAUACGUGGGCCCCACGGAUGAUUUUUGGGGUGUAAUUUCGGAUUUUAUGGAAAAUAUUAGUGUUUUGAUAUGGAAUUAAUUCUUAUAAAUUGUGUGGACUGAGUCAAAUUAUUGUGACUAGAUUAUUGGAAUUAAUUCUUAUAAUUUCUGGAGCAUUGCUUAGCUUGCUCGACAUUGGAUUUGGCAUGUUCGAGGUAAGUAACUCUUGUAAUCUUGGAGUUGAGGGUAUGAACCCGGAAUAUAUGUAUUUCGUGAAUUGUUGAAAGGUGACGCACAUGCUAGGUGAUGGGCGUGUGGGCGUGCACUAUCGAAAUUGUGACAUAAUUAUUUCUAUGAAAUUUUGUAGUUAAAUGAUCUUGGCAUUUUUCAUGCGUUUUAUGAGUUAGAGAAAUUAANNNNNNNNNNNNNNNNNNNNNNNNNNNNNNNNNNNNNNNNNNNNNNNNNNNNNNNNNNNNNNNNNNNNNNNNNNNNNNNNNNNNNNNNNNNNNNNNNNNNNNNNNNNNNNNNNNNNNNNNNNNNNNNNNNNNNNNNNNNNNNNNNNNNNNNNNNNNNNNNNNNNNNNNNNNNNNNNNNNNNNNNNNNNNNNNNNNNNNNNNNNNNNNNNNNNNNNNNNNNNNNNNNNNNNNNNNNNNNNNNNNNNNNNNNNNNNNNNNNNNNNNNNNNNNNNNNNNNNNNNNNNNNNNNNNNNNNNNNNNNNNNNNNNNNNNNNNNNNNNNNNNNNNNNNNNNNNNNNNNNNNNNNNNNNNNNNNNNNNNNNNNNNNNNNNNNNNNNNNNNNNNNNNNNNNNNNNNNNNNNNNNNNNNNNNNNNNNNNNNAAAUUGAAAAUUCAUACUGAGUCAUAUUCAUUUCAUUGCAUAUCAUAUCUCAGUCUUUGUUGUUAUUUAUUGAUACAUCAUAUCAUCAUAUUUGGGCUAUUUUUCAUGACACUGUGAGCCCGAGAGACUGGAGAGAUUGAUGAUUGAGUGAGGCCGAGGGCCUGAUUUGUGAGGAUAUUUAUGGGAUCGGGCUGCAUAUCUAGCAGAUCUUCCGGGCAUGCCGCCUGAUAGGGACAUCGACUUUGGUAUUGAUUUAUUACCGGCCACUCAACCCAUCUUUAUUUCUCCAUAUCGCAUAGCUCCGCCUGAGUUGAAGGAGUUAAAGGAGCAGUUGUAUGAGUUUCUUGAUAAGGGCUUCAUUCGGCCCUGUGUGUCACCUUGGGGUGCUCCAGUCUUGUUUGUGAAGAAGAAGGAUGGUUACAUGCGCAUGUGUAUUGAUUAUCGCCAGUUGAACAAAGUUACGGUGAAGAACAUGUAUCAAUUGCCUUGUAUUGAUGAACUAUUUGAUCAGUUACAGGGUGGCAGAGUGUUUUCCAAGAUUGACUUGCAUUCAAGCUAUCAUCAGUUGAAGAUUCGGGAGCCAGAUAUCCUGAAGGCUGCUUUCAGGACUCGGUAUGGUCACUACGAGUUCCUUUUGAUGUCAUUUGGGCUGACCAACGCCCCGGCAGCAUUUAUGCAUUUGAUGCAUAGUGUAUUCUGGCCCUAUCUUAACUCAUUCGUCAUUGUGUUUAUUGACGACAUGCUGUUGUACUCCCGCAGUCUGGAGGAUCAUGAGCAGCACCUGAGGACUGUGCUCCAGACCUUGAGAUAAAAGAAGUUAUAUGCAAUGGUUCCAUAGAAGGUUGAAAUAGUACAGAGUUGGCCUAGAGCAUCCUUAGCUUCAGAGAUUCGGAGUUUUCUUGAUUUGGCGGGGUAUUACCGUCGAUUUGUAGAGGGUUUCUCAUCUAUUGCAGCACCUUUGACCAGGCUGACCCAGAAGGGUGCUCCGUUCAAGUGGACAAAGGAGUGUGAGGAGAGCUUUCAAAAGCUCAAGACAGCUUUGACUACUGCCCCAGUGUUUGUAUUACCUAUAGUUUCGAGGUCUUAUACUGUAUAUUGUGAUGUGUCACAUAUUUGUCCCAGCGCGGUGUUGAUGCAGGACAGUAGGGUGAUUAUCUAUGCGUCUAGACAAUUGAAGGUGCAUGAGAAGAACUAUCCUGUCCACGACCUUGAAUUAGCAGCUAUUGUUCAUGCCUUGAAGAUUCGGCGGCACUAUUUGUACGGUGUCCCUUGUGAUAUCUACACCGAUCACCUGAGUUUGUAAAAUCUGUUCAAACAGAAGGAUCUUAACUUCCAUCAGCAAAGGUGGUUAGAGCUACUUAAGGACUAUGAUAUCACCAUUCUAUACCAUCCGAGGAAGGCCAAUGUGGUAGCCGAUGCCUUGAGUCGCAGGGCGGAGAGUUUGGACAGCUUAGCAUAUCUACCAGCAGCGGAGAGGCCAUUGGCAUUGGAUGUUCAGGUCUUGGCCAACCAGUUUGUUAGAUUGGAUGUUUCUGAGCUGAGUCGAGUUUUGGCUUGUGUGGUUUCUCAGUCUUCUCUUUAUGAUCGUAUCAGGGAGCGUCAAUAUGAUGACGCAUAUCUGCUUGUCCUUAAGGACAUGGUUCAGCACGGUUAUGCCAAGUAGGUCACUAUUGGAGAUGACUGUGCAUUGAGGAUACUGGACAGGCUAUGUGUGCCCAAUGUAGAUGGUUUGCACGAGUUGAUUCUCGAGGAGGCUCACAAUUCGCAGUACUCCAUUCAUCCAGGUGCCGCGAAGAUGUAUCAGGACUUGAGGAAGCAUUAUUGGUAGAGGAGAAUAAAAAAGGACAUAGUAGAGUAUGUAGCUCGGUGCCUAAAUUGCGAGCAGGUGAAGUAUGAGCAUCAGCGGCCAGGUGGAUUGCUUCAGAAGCUAGUGAUUCCGGAGUGGAAAUGGGAGCGAAUUACUAUGGAUUUUGUUUUUGGACUCCCAUGGACUCAGAGGAAGUUCGAUGUAGUUUGGGUGAUUGUGGAUAGGUAUACCAAGUCAGCUAAUUUCAUACCAGUAAUGACCACUUAUUCUUUUGAGCAGCUAGCUUGAGUUUAUAUCCGCGAGAUUGUCACGCUUCAUGGCGUGCAGAUAUCUAUCAUUUCUAACCAGGGUACGCAGUUUACAACACGGUUUUGGAGGGUCGUACAGCAUGAGUUAGGUACUCGAGUAAAGUUGAGCAUAGCAUUUCACCCUCAGACGGACGGGCAGUCCGAGUGCACUAUUCAGAUACUGGAGGAUAUGUUUCGUGCAUGUGAUUGAGUUUAGGGGUUCUUGGGAUCAGUUCUUGCCACUUGCGGAGUUUGCCUACAGCAAUAGUUAUCAGUCGAGCAUUUAGAUGGCCCUGUUUGAGGCUUUGUAUGGUAGACGGUGUCGGUCUCCAGUGGGUUGGUUUGAGCCGGGUGAGGCAAGGCUAUUGAGUACAUACUUUUUUCAGGAUGCUUUGGAAAAGGUUAAGGUGAUUCGGGAUUAACUUUAUAUAGCCCAAUCUAGGCAGAAGAGUUAUGCGGAUCGGAAGGUUCGCGAUGUUGCAUUCAUGGUUGGGGAGCGGGUCUUGCUUCGGGUUUCACCCAUGAAGGGUGUUAUGAGGUUCGGGAAGAAGGGCAAGUUGAGCGCUAGGUAUAUCAGACCUUUUGAGAUUCUUGAGAGGGUUGAAGAGGUGGCUUAUAGACUUGCACUACCACCUAGUCUAGCUGCAGUUCAUCCAGUAUUCCAUGUUUUUAUGCUCCGGAAUUAUCACGGCGAUCCGUCUCAUGUGUUAGAUUUCAGCUCAGUCCAGUUAGACAAGGAUUUGUCAUAUGUUGAUGUAACGACCCGGGCGGUCGUUUUGAGUAUUAUAGCCCCGUUUCCCCAGUUACUACUUAUUCUGUGUUCAGUUACAAUUAUGUGACUUGUUGGGUAGAUUUCGGAAUGAAUUGGAACACUUAGUUCCAAGGUUUAAAACUUAAGUUGAGAAGGUUGAUCGGAUGUUGACAUACGUGUAAACGACCCCGAAAAAUUUUGCUAAGGAAAUUAAGGUUUUGGGUUGAAGAAUGCACUAAAUUGUUAAUGAAAUUUUUUGGCAAAAAAAGGUAUUUCUGCAGUCCACUUUGCGACUGAAGAAUCACUCUGCGGGCCGCAGAAUGGCCGCAGAGUGAGGAAGGACUGGCAAGUUUUGACGUUAUUUUGUGGAUGAUUCUGCGACCACAUAAUAGUUCUGCGAUGCAGUUCGACCGCAGAAUAGGUUUGGGGGCCGCAUAGUGACCUCACACCCGGGCAGAAGAUGCCCAGUUCCGGUAAGCCAUUUUGCGGGCCGCAAAAGCAUUAUGCGGUCGCAUAUGCGACAACAGAGUGUGUUUCGACAUUUCAUUUUUCUGGUUUUAUAACCCGACCCAACUUCGAUAUAUAGCCUUUGAAGUCAUUUUGGAGGAAAAAUCUGACAUUUUUAGAGAGAAGGGAGAGUGUUCUGGAGAGAGGAAGAAGCUCAAGUGCUAUGUUUAUUAAGAUCUUGUUCAAGCUUUGAAGUCCAACAAGGAAAUAUCACAAGAUCUUCACCCAAGAGCUAAGGUUCUAACCCUAGUCUUCAAUUUUGAGUUUGGGUAAAGAUGGGUGAUUGGGAGUAUGAUUCUUGGAUGUGAGAGUAUUAUUUAUACAUGCUUGUACCAAUAAGGUUUGUGGGAAGAUUGUUGAGUUCAAAUGGGUAAAGAUUGGGCUGAAAAUGGUAGAAAUCUUCAAAGACUUUAAUUAAAGAUUUGAGGGUCGAGUUGAUGUCGGAAUUUGGUAAAAUUUGUAUGGUUUAACUCGUGAUUGGAUUGGCAGUCAUAUUUCAUAACUUUUUUCGGGUUCCGAGACGUGGGCCCCACGGGAGGUUUUUGAGUUAAAUUUCGGAUUUUGUUGAAAAAUUUGUAUUUUCAUAAGGAAUUAAUUCCUAUAAUUUGUAUUGACUAAAUCGAAUUAAUUGUGGCUAGAAUUCUAGGCGUUCGGAGGCCGAUUCGCGAGGCAAAGGCAUAGCGGAGUAAAGAGUUACACGGUUUGAGGUAAGUAACAUUUCUAAACUUGGUUCUGAGGGUAUGAAUCUCUGAAUUUUGUGUUAUAUCAAUUGUUGGAGGUGACGCACAUGCUAGGUGACGAGCGUGUGGGCAUACACCAUAGAAAUUGUGACUUAAAUAAAUCCUAUGGAGUUGUAAAAUUUAAGAAUCAUAUUAUUAUUCUUGUAUCCUCCACGUGUUUGAGAAAUUAAGGUGAGGCUCGUAUUAAAGAUCAUGUUUAGACUACGCGCCGAUAUUUCGGGACCCAUGGGGUCGUAUUGCUAUUAAAUUAAUUAUUUUAAAAUGUACAUUUUAUACUCAGUCAUGUUCAUCCAUUGUGAGGAUAUUUAUGGGAUCGGGGCUGCCCGCCUGCAGUAGGCCACAUCGGCUUUAUAUAUUAUUAUUAUUAUUAUUAUUAUUAUUAUUAUUAUGGAAUCGGGUUGCACGCCGCAGCAGGCCUUAUAAGCUUUCUUGUUCUGGAUCGGGGCUGCACGCCACAACAUGCCUUAUUAUAUUUAUUAUUAUAUGGAUUAGGGUUGCCCGCCCGCAGCAUGCCAUAUCAGCUUUAUAUCACGCUUGGGCUGAAGGAGCCCCUCCGGAGUCUGCACCCCACAUAGUGAGCGUAGAUGAUUAUAUAUUCGGGGUGGAUUUCCCAGGGCAAGAACUUGCCUUACUUAUUUGUAUUUGUGAUGAAUUUCCCUGGACAUGGAUCUUGUCCGAAUUAUUAUAAUUUGGGGAUAAAUUUACCCCUGGGCUGGAUUGGCCUUAUACGGUAUUGAGUCACUGACUGUCAAUUAAUGUAUACAUAUACGGAAUGGAACUUCCCUGGGCUGGAUUGGCCAUAUAUAGUACUAAGUGACCGAGUAAUUGUGACCGUGAGUACACGAGGUUUUCCACUAAGAUGUCAUAUUCCUCAUAUCAUUCAGUAUUGAUCUAUUUUACUUGUAUGGAGUUAACUGUUGAACUUGAAAGCAUGCCUAUAUUUCUGUACUAUUAUUUCUAUACUAGAUUGUACCUGCUGAGCUCAUCAUUACUUUCAGCCCAGAGGUUAGUCUUGUUACUUAUUGAGUUGGUUGUACUCAUACUACACCUUGCACCUCGUGUGCAGAUCCAGGUACUCACGGAUACGGAUGCUGCUAGAUUUCAGAGAUCUAUCUGUUGAAGAUUAUCAAUGUAGUUGCUUGGCAUCCGCAGACCUUGACUCUCUUUCCAUUCAGAUAUUAUAUUGUUUUAUAUUUCCAGAUAGUGUUUUUAUCAGUCAGACUAUGUUAUCAUUUAGAUGCUCAUCUACUCAGUGACACCGGAUUUUGGGAAUGUAGUUUACGUCAAUAAUUUGUGAGAUUUUUUAUGAAAUUUAAUUAUUAUAUUUUCAAACUUAAAAGAAAUUGUGAUUUAUUGAGAUAGUCGGCUUGCCUAGUAUUGAGAUAGGCGCCAUCACGACAGGUUAGGAUUUUGGGUCGUAACAGUUGAGGAGUCGGUGUCCAUUUUGGAUAGGCAGGUUUGAAAGUUAAGGUAGAAGAACAUUGCUUCAGUGAAGGUUUAGUGGAGGGGCCAGCCAGUCGAUGAGGUGACUUGGGAGACUGAGCACGAUAUGCGCAGCCCUUACCUUCAUCAUUUCACCACUUCAGGUGUGUCUCUAUACUCUUUCGAGCUGUUACCCUAAUCUUUUCACCACUUCAGGUAUGUCUCUAUACUCGUUCGAGGACUAACGAUUGUUUUAAGAGGGGGAGGAUGUAACAACCCGGCCGGUCAUUUUGAGAGUAUGAGCCUUGAUCCCCUAAUUAUUUCUUCCUCCGCUUCAUUUUUAUGCUUACAUGACUUUCCGGGGUGCUAGGUUUCGGGUUCGGGAGAGUUUCGAAGUGAAAUGGGACACAUAGUCCCUAAGUUUGAAGUUUGAGUUGUAAGCGUUGUUUGAACUAUGUGAAGACGACUCCAGAAUAGAGUUUCGUCGGUUUCAAUGGCUCCGUAUGGUGAUUAUGGUCUUAGGAGCGUAUUCGGAUGUUGAUUUGGAGGUCCGUAGAUCAUUUCGGUGUUAAUUGGUGAAAGUUGAAUUUUGGAAGGUAUUUGGGAAAUUUGAACGCGAGUGGACUUUUUGAUAUCGGCGUAGGAUUUUGAUUCCGAAAGUUGGAGUAGGUCUGUAAUGUCAAAUGUGACGUGUGUGCAAAAUUUGAGGUCAAUCGGACGUGAUUUGAUAGAUCUCGGCAUCGUUUGUAGAAGUUGGAAUUUUCUUAGUUCAUUAGGCUUGAAUUGGGGUGCGAUUCAUGAUUUUAGCGUUGUUUGAUGUGAAUUGAAGGAUCGACUAAGUUUGUAUGAUGUUUUAGGACUUGUUGGUAUAAUUAGUUAAGGUCCCGGGGGCCUAGGGUGGAUUUCGGAUGGUUAACGGAUUGGAAUUUUGACUUAGAUGAUGGUUGAAGCUUCAGAAGAUCUGGUGUCUGGUUUCCUUCUACGCGUUCGUGAUGGUUCUCCCUCGUUCGCAUAGAGGAGUUAAGUUUUGCUGGGAUUUUUGCCUUCGCGUUCGCGAUGAGGGUCCUAUGUUCUCGAAGCUGAAGAGUCUAAAGUCUACGCGUUCGCGUGAGGGACUUCGCGUUCGCAUAGAUGUUCGAUCAGUUGGGGUUUCAGGCUUUUAGGCCACGCAUUCGCGAGUGAAGCUCCACGUUCACGAAGGCAUGGGGGCAGUGUUCGCCACAUUUGCGAGUGGGCCCUUGCGUUCACAUAGAAGGUUUUUGGACAAAAGCAUUUUUGUGCUUCGCGAACGCGAGGAUGCUUCCGCACUCGCGAAGAAGGAAUUACCUGGGCAGAUUUUAAAAGUUCAAUAUCGAGGAUUUAUGUCAUUUUUCACCAUUUGGACUCGAGAGCUCGGAAUUAGGCAUUGGAUAUAUUUUCACGUACGUGUUUGGGGUAAGUGAAUCUUACUUAGUUUUGGUUAAUUUCUACGAUUAUGCCUUUGAUUUCAUCAUUUAAUUUGUGGUUUGGGGUGGAAAAUUGGGAAAAAUUGAGAAACAAUUCUUAGGCCGGAUUUUGUGGUUUUUAUCAAGAUUUUGGUAUCGGAUUUGAGUAAUUUUGGUAUGGUUGGAAUCGUGGUUGAACGGGUAUUCAGAUUUUGUGACUUUUACCUGAUUGUGAGACAUAGGCCCGGGUCGACCUUUUGGGGCGAUUUUAUGAUUUCUUGUUAAAGUCUUGAUUUCAUUAAUUAGAUUAGUUUCUUAUAAUUAUAUUUAUAGUAUGUACUUGCUUUUGGAUAAAUUUGGGUCGUUUGGAGUCGGAAAGUCAAGGGAAAGGCAUUCUUAUUGACUGAUUUAAGCUUGGUUUGAGGUAAGUGACUUGUCUAACCUUGUGUGGGAGAAAUCUCCUUAGGAUUUGGUACUUUUGUGACAAAUUUAUAAUAUGUGAGUGCCGUAUACGCAAGGUGACGAGUGCGUACACAAGGAAAAUGUGAAAAAUCCAGUCUUCGCUAAGUGGUUUCCUUUCUAUACCUUAAAUGAGUUAUUCUAGCACGUGUAGUCUUCAAAUUUAGUCUAAUUUCACAUGUUUAUGUGUUUCAUCUCUCAGUUGAAAUAUGUACAACAUGCUUAGUUAAAUUACAUGUUGUUCCUUGAUUCUGUAUUUGUUCUUUAAUUGUAGGGUUUCCUUGUUUGAAAAAUCAUUUUUGUAUUUAUUAUGUGUUGAUUCUUCGUGAUUCUUGUUGUGAUGAUUGUUUGGUUGUGGCACGAGGUUUCUUCCGUGCGGAGUGUUAUUGGCACGAGGUUUCUUUCGUGCGGAGUGUUAUUGGCACGAGGUUUCUUCCGUGCGGAGUGUGAUUCGCACGAGGUUUCUUCCGUGCGGAGUGUUAUUGGCACGAGGUUUCUUCCGUGCGGAGUGUGAUUGGCACGAGGUCUCUUCCAUGCAGAGUGUGAUUUGGCACGAGGUUUCUUCCGUGCAGAGUGAGAUUGUAGUACGAGGUGUUUGCCGUGUCGUUGUGAGAUAUUUACUUUUGGGACUACGAGGCGGUACUUCGGGAGCGACUCUAUUGAUUUUCUCUUUUGCUGUGUUGUUUGUUGUUGUUGUUGUUCCUUAACUUGUAAGAUGUUACUUUCCUUACGUGUUAUAAUUGUCUUCCUGCUUUCCUGAGGUGUUACCUUUCCGUACAUUUCUACUGUUUAUUUACCUGCCAUCCCUUUUUAUCAUUUCGCCUUCUGCCUUAUUUCUUAUAUUCCAGUAGGGCCCUGACCUGACCUCAUCACUACUCUACUGAGGUUAGGCUUGGCACUUACUGGGCACCGUUGUGGUGUACUCAUACUUCGCUUCUGCACAUGUUUUGUGCAGAUCCAAGUACAUCCUACCAUCCUCGAUAUUAGUACGUGCUGCUGCUUGGAGACUUCAAGGUAUAUCUUCCAGCGUCCGCAGACCUCGGAGUACCCCUCGAUCCUUAUUAUGUUGUCUUUUCUUUAUUUCUUUUAGACGCUGAUGUAUAAAGACAUUUAGUACGUCCUCAGAGCUUGUGACUUGUGACUAUCGGGUUUUGGGAGUUAUUUAUACUCAAAGUUGUUGAUUUUAUUGUACGUGCCGAGCGGCAGUUUUCAGUUAUAUAUUUAUCUGUUGAAGUUUAGUCGUUAUUUCUGUUAUUAUUUCAGUUAUUCCGCAAUUGUUAGGCUUACCUAGUCUUAGAGACUAGGUACCGUCACGACAUUUUACGGAGGGAGAUUUGGAUCGUGACGCCACUAUUCUUCUGUAGAUUAGUUAUUGGCUCUACCUCAAAGUUAAAAAGGCAAAUUACAUCAAAAUUUUGUUAGUUGGUCAACUAGUUCAUUGCUUUCAAGGCUCUCAGAAAAAUCUCUCUGAAUAUGAAUGCAAAUAUUUGUUACAGCUUCCCCAUAAUUGAUCCCUUUCCCAUAUUCAACCCCUUAACCCCUCAUAGUUCCUUCAUCCUUGGACAUAUGGACAUAAAUAUUAUUACUAAAUAAUCUUACAACAACAUUCCUAAUAAAGGGAGAUGUAUUCUUUCUUUCCUUUCUAUUGCACAAUCAAAACAAGAAGAAAGAAAGAAUUAGUACAGUUGGCUCUUUACACAUACCAAAAUAAGAAAAUGUGCUCUUAUUCCUACACCACAUAUAUUUAAGCUUUCAACUCAAAUAAGGACAUUCGGUUGAGUAAGGUCAUUCACGAUACUCUUCUAUCCUCUAUUAUACUCAAAACUCAAUAAGUCUCUUAUUCACUGUAUUUGCAUCACAUUUAACGACUCUAUCCUCCAAUAGCAACAUAUUCUAAAAACUCAUCCUUUCAAUUAAAAUGUAUAAAAGUUCAAAGCCUCCUCUUAAUAGAACUGAACAGAAAUAUAAGCAAACCAUUUACAAUAAUGAGGUUAAAUUUAUUUUUCAGUUUCUUAAAGAGAAAGUGUGCAAUUCCUUCGUUCGAAUCUCGAGGUCCACUAUCACGCCAAAACCUCUGGACCAAAGGAGUAUAUGUAUAAUAUUUACUUUUCUUUAUAGGUGUUGAAAAAUAUAGCUAUAGAAACGAACAACUUCUGAAUCUCUCAAGCUCUUGAAACCUAUUUUUUUAUUUGAGCAGUAAAAAGGAUAAAUGUUCAAGAGUCAAUUGGUCUUCAAGAGUCGAAGAAACUAUCUAGGUAAUAAAGAAAUUAGCUAGGUAAUAAAUCUUCAAGGAUAAACCUAUUGAGAUAAUGCUAAAACCACAAAAUACCUAGGUAAUAAAAAGAGAGACGUAGACAGAAACUAACCGAAAAGAGGAGUGGGAGAGAAAUUGGAGCAGAAUUGGUCUUCAAGAGUCGAAGAAUAGGCUUUAAAUUUCCGCCGUUAGCCGAAAAUUGUUAUCUGCCGCUUGCCUUCGUCAGCCGCACAGGUGGAGUUGAAGAGAAAUCGAAGAAUCAAACAACACUGGUAGAAUGGAAGAGAAAUCGCAGAGAAAUAAAAUAUCGAUAGAGAAAGCGAGAGAGAGAGAGGGGGGAAAUUGGAGAAAUAUGGUUGAAAUUGGGAAUAUAGGAUUCUGGCUUGAAAUAUUAUAUUUACCUUUCUGACUAUCGCGGUCACAAAC